CGGCCGCGUCGACGGCUGUCGUCAGCUCGUGUCGUGAGAUGUUGGGUUAAGUCCCGCAACGAGCGCAACCCUCGUGUUUAGUUGCCAUCAUUAAGUUGGGCACUCUAAACAGACUGCCGGUGACAAACCGGAGGAAGGUGGGUAUGACGUCAAGUCAUCAUGGCCCUUACGGCCUGGGCUACACACGUGCUACAAUGGUCGGUACAAAGG
RNAcentral lists this ribosomal RNA (210 nucleotides) under uncultured Phormidium sp. Its description in RNAcentral is "partial 16S ribosomal RNA". It matches the Rfam family "Bacterial small subunit ribosomal RNA", at positions 1033 to 1245 of the family's 1533-position model. Lineage: Bacteria; Bacillati; Cyanobacteriota; Cyanophyceae; Oscillatoriales; Oscillatoriaceae. The record is from RNAcentral.